GUCGCUACUACCGAUUGAAUGGCUCAGUGAGGCCUCCGGACUGGCUCGAAGAGGUUGGCAACGACCACUUCGAGCCGGAAAGCUGGUCAAACUCGGUCAUUUAGAGGAAGUAAAAGUCGUAACAAGGUUUCCGUAGGUGAACCUGCGGAAGGAUCAUUACC
RNAcentral lists this ribosomal RNA (161 nucleotides) under Epicoccum sorghinum. RNAcentral's name for it is "partial 18S ribosomal RNA". It matches the Rfam family "Eukaryotic small subunit ribosomal RNA", at positions 1675 to 1831 of the family's 1831-position model. Lineage: Eukaryota; Fungi; Ascomycota; Dothideomycetes; Pleosporales; Didymellaceae. The record is from RNAcentral.